CUCAAAACAUUCAUCCCUUGAUUAAUGCAUAGUCAAUCCAUUCGUACUCCUUUCGCCAUCCUAGUGGCAUUUCAUCUGCAGCGACGGUGCUUACACUCUCCUGAACUUAUACGGACAGUUCCUAACCUGGCAGCCAUGCUGGCCACAUUCAAAGCAUGCUCCCCUUUUUCUCUGACACCGGACUAACUCAAGCCUCAUUUCCAUAAACUCGACACGCAAUCAGAGAGUCCUCUAUCUCUCAUCAAGGAACAUCAUG
This 256-nucleotide long non-coding RNA is filed under the name Eucalyptus grandis. RNAcentral's name for it is "long non-coding RNA (EGRA_LNC007226)". The record is from RNAcentral. Lineage: Eukaryota; Viridiplantae; Streptophyta; Magnoliopsida; Myrtales; Myrtaceae.